GUUUGUUUAAAGUUGUACAUGUAUUUCAAAUCUUGUUCUUAAAAACUGAAACAAUCCAAAGUGAUAUGCAAUCAUGAAAGUUUCUAUGCUUAUAGAUACACCAUUUGUCCAAGCAUCCAGUAGCAGAUCUUCUUCUUCUUUGAACAAUGAAAAAAAAAAACCCAACAACAUAAAAAUGUACUAGUUUAAAAAAUACACUCACUUGUCACACCAACUUUCAACAUUGUAUAUAUAAUUUAUAGAGUCAAAAAUAUCAAUAAAAAUUUUCUUUUUCUCAUAAACUUAAACUUUUUGUCAUGAACAAAACAUCAGAAUAUAUUUAUGUGUAUAUAGAUAAUGAAAUAUUUUGUUACUGUGCUAAGGGACAUAUAACGGACAACAUCCACUGGGCAACCCUGAUAUCUGGAUAAGGCCUGAUAACUUGGUAUAUCUUUCCUCACUUUAGUUUCCAAAAGUGACUUUGGUUUGAAUAAAAUAACAUCAGUGUACAAGAUCAAAUGGAACAAAAAAAAUAAUAUAAACAUGAUUACAUCUAGGAAUAAACACUUAAGGAAAAGUGGAAACAGAAAAGUUCAAUGGUUGUAUAAAUCUAGAACAUAAGACAUCAACAUAUCAUUUCAUUUCAAGACAAAAGUACAUAUACAGAAGUGAAUGUAUAGAUAUUAAUUUGUAAUCUACAUUAUGUUCUGAUUCAUUAGACAAGGGUAAUAACUAUAGUAUUAGCCCCCGAAAACACUAAUCCUUGAUCAAAACUAGUAGAACUUCAACAUUUUGUUUUUAUCCAAGACAAAGAAUUAGUUUUAUAUAAUUAGUGUUAUAUCCUGUGAAUAGAAUAACAGUACCUAUAUCUAAUGCAAUUGAAUGAUUGAAAAUAAAAAUAAAGCUGAGAUAGACAUUAAAACCCAUUAAAAUGUUGUCAUUGUAGUUUUUUUUUUUAUAACAAAAAUUCAGACUUUAUGAUUUUUCCAAUGCUUAAUGCACUUUUGAUAGCAAAGCUGACAGACGUAUAAAUCACAUUUUAAUGACAUCAGAACAUGUACAAAUAAACUGUUUUUCAAAUGAAAUUAAAGUUUCAUGAACAAAACAAAAAAAAUAAACAGAUUGUCGAAUGAUGCUGAAGUAAAAAAUAUUAUUCAGGUGUCUACAAUAUAUUUAAUGUCUUGAACAUUAUUUAAUGUGUGUAUAUAUAUAUAUAUAUAUAUAU
Molecule: non-coding RNA, 1204 nt
Organism: Biomphalaria pfeifferi
Lineage: Eukaryota; Metazoa; Mollusca; Gastropoda; Planorbidae
Source: the annotation of a GenBank genome assembly